AACGAACGCUGGCGGCAGGCUUAACACAUGCAAGUCGAACGCCCCGCAAGGGGAGUGGCAGACGGGUGAGUAACGCGUGGGAACAUACCCUUUUCUACGGAAUAGCUCUGGGAAACUGGAAUUAAUACCGUAUACGCCCUACGGGGGAAAGAUUUAUCGGGGAAGGAUUGGCCCGCGUUGGACUAGCUAGUUGGUGGGGUAAAAGCCUACCAAGGCGACGAUCCAUAGCUGGUCUGAGAGGAUGAUCAGCCACAUUGGGACUGAGACACGGCCCAAACUCCUACGGGAGGCAGCAGUGGGGAAUAUUGGACAAUGGGCGCAAGCCUGAUCCAGCCAUGCCGCGUGAGUGAUGAAGGCCUUAGGGUUGUAAAGCUCUUUCACCGAUGAAGAUAAUGACGGUAGUCGGAGAAGAAGCCCCGGCUAACUUCGUGCCAGCAGCCGCCGUAA
Molecule: ribosomal RNA, 447 nt
Filed under: uncultured bacterium
Lineage: Bacteria
Description: partial 16S ribosomal RNA
Rfam family: Bacterial small subunit ribosomal RNA
Source: RNAcentral